CUUCAACAGUUGAGAAAACAAUUACUAAGACGAAACCAACUAGUACAGGUGGCAAUGCAGAAGGACGAUUAUUGACGAUUACCAUGGGCGUGGUUGGCACAGUAGCAAGUUUUAUUUUGAUGUUCGAGGUCGUAUCAAUAGUACAUAAAGUUCAAUAUAUGGAAUCAUCACUUGCUGGCGAGAAACAAACAAGAAAGGAAUCUGAGGAGCAGUUAAUGGAUUCAUUUACAAUUGAAUUGUCAGAUGAUGAUGGUGAAAGAAUACUCACUAAAGGAGUAGACACAAGAAACAU
Long non-coding RNA from Mytilus trossulus (common blue mussel), 292 nucleotides. RefSeq lists it as uncharacterized. Lineage: Eukaryota; Metazoa; Mollusca; Bivalvia; Mytilida; Mytilidae. The record is from RefSeq and is a predicted model, not a curated record. The transcript is spliced from 3 exons.